This 200-nucleotide ribosomal RNA is filed under the name uncultured bacterium. RNAcentral describes it as "partial 16S ribosomal RNA". It matches the Rfam family "Bacterial small subunit ribosomal RNA", at positions 524 to 723 of the family's 1533-position model. The record is from RNAcentral.
UACGAAGGGGGCUAGCGUUGCUCGGAAUUACUGGGCGUAAAGCGCGUGUAGGCUGCGGUGUAAGUCGGACGUGAAAGCCCUUGGCUUAACCAAGGAAGUGCAUCCGAUACUGCGUCGCUUGAGUGCCGGAGGGGGUGGCGGAAUUCCCGGUGUAGAGGUGAAAUUCGUAGAUAUCGGGAGGAACACCUGUGGCGAAGGCG